UACGUAGGGGGCUAGCGUUGUCCGGAAUCAUUGGGCGUAAAGAGCGUGUAGGCGGCUUGGUAAGUCCGCUGUGAAAGUCCAGGGCUCAACCCUGGAAUGCCAGUGGAUACUGUCAAGCUAGAGUCCGGAAGAGGCGAGUGGAAUUCCUGGUGUAGCGGUGAAAUGCGCAGAUAUCAGGAGGAGCACCAAUGGCGAAGGCAGCUCGCUGGGACGGUACUGACGCUGAGACGCGAAAGCGUGGGGAGCAAACAGG
This 253-nucleotide ribosomal RNA is filed under the name uncultured bacterium. RNAcentral describes it as "partial 16S ribosomal RNA". It matches the Rfam family "Bacterial small subunit ribosomal RNA", at positions 524 to 776 of the family's 1533-position model. The record is from RNAcentral.